UACGUAGGGGGCAAGCGUUGUCCGGAUUUAUUGGGCGUAAAGAGCGUGUAGGCGGUCGGGUAGGUCCGUUGUGAAAACUCGAGGCUCAACCUCGAGACGCCGAUGGAAACCAUCUGACUAGAGUCCGGAAGAGGAGAGUGGAAAUUCCUGGUGUAGCGGUGAAAUGCGUAGAGAUCGGAAAGAACACCAACGGCGAAAGCACUCUGCUGGGCCGACACUGACACUGAGAGACGAAGGCUAGGGGAGCGAAUGGG
Molecule: ribosomal RNA, 254 nt
Filed under: uncultured bacterium
Lineage: Bacteria
Description: partial 16S ribosomal RNA
Rfam family: Bacterial small subunit ribosomal RNA
Source: RNAcentral